Molecule: ribosomal RNA, 119 nt
Filed under: Pteropus alecto (black flying fox)
Lineage: Eukaryota; Metazoa; Chordata; Mammalia; Chiroptera; Pteropodidae
Source: RNAcentral
GUCUACGGCCAUGCCACCCUGAACAAGCCCAAUCCAGUAUGAUCUUGGAAACUAAGCAGGGUCAGGCCUCGUUAGUACUUGGAUGGGAGACCAUCUAGGAAGACCAGGUGCUAUAGGCC